AGUGAACGCUGGCGGUAGGCCUAACACAUGCAAGUCGAACGGCAGCACAGGAGAGCUUGCUCUCUGGGUGGCGAGUGGCGGACGGGUGAGGAAUACAUCGGAAUCUGCCCAGUCGUGGGGGAUAACGUAGGGAAACUUACGCUAAUACCGCAUACGACCUUCGGGUGAAAGAGGGGGAUCGCAAGACCUCUCGCGAUUGGAUGAGCCGAUGUCGGAUUAGCUAGUUGGCGGGGUAAUGGCCCACCAAGGCGACGAUCCGUAGCUGGUCUGAGAUGAUGAUCAGCCACACUGGAACUGAGACACGGUCCAGACUCCUACGGGAGGCAGCAGUGGGGAAUAUUGGACAAUGGGCGCAAGCCUGAUCCAGCCAUACCGCGUGGGUGAAGAAGGCCUUCGGGUUGUAAAGCCCUUUUGUUGGGAAAGAAAUCUUUCAGGCUAAUACCCUGGGAGGAUGACGGUACCCAAAGAAUAAGCACCGGCUAACUUCGUG
RNAcentral lists this ribosomal RNA (490 nucleotides) under uncultured bacterium. RNAcentral's name for it is "partial 16S ribosomal RNA". It matches the Rfam family "Bacterial small subunit ribosomal RNA", at positions 29 to 507 of the family's 1533-position model. The record is from RNAcentral.